This 211-nucleotide ribosomal RNA is filed under the name uncultured bacterium. RNAcentral's name for it is "partial 16S ribosomal RNA". It matches the Rfam family "Bacterial small subunit ribosomal RNA", at positions 524 to 734 of the family's 1533-position model. The record is from RNAcentral.
UACGAAGGGGGCUAGCGUUGUUCGGAAUUACUGGGCGUAAAGCGCACGUAGGCGGAUAUUUAAGUCAGGGGUGAAAUCCCAGAGCUCAACUCUGGAACUGCCUUUGAUACUGGGUAUCUUGAGUAUGGAAGAGGUAAGUGGAAUUGCGAGUGUAGAGGUGAAAUUCGUAGAUAUUCGCAGGAACACCAGUGGCGAAGGCGGCUUACUGGUC